UUUUUAACACCCGCUGUUUGACCAAAUUGUUAGUCCCCAUAUACGGCUGCGCGUGAACAUCAGGGAGAAUGCGCCGGAGGAGCACCGCGCAUGCGCAUUGAAACUCCCGUCUGCUGGGAAUUGUAGUUUUCCUUUAAGCACGGUGAUAUGACUGACUGACUGACUGUCCUGUUAUUUUCUUAACCAAAAGGAAUUACAGGCCACACAGUUAUAUAUAAACCUUGUAUAUGACUCCUCUCUUCUUAAAGUCUUCUUAAAUAAUAAAAGUUAUUUUAAACUAACCCCAUAUCACACACCAUACCAUUCCAGUCAGUGUUGUUUACUGUGCGUUUGUUUUACACUACAGUGUCUGUGGCUGUUAUAAUGUGUGCUGUUAUUAGUUUAGUUUAUAUUCAGUGGACCUACUGAUACUGUGUGUAUUUAUUGUCUUAUCUUCUUGUUUAUUUGUCUGUAACUUCCUAAUUUGCACUGCAUAUAUCUGCUGCUUAUUUUGUACCUCACUGUUGCCACUUUUAUGUGAUAUAUACCAUCAUGACAUGUGAUGUUUCUUUUCACUUUUGACAAAUAAAACUGUUUUUAUAUCUCAA
Long non-coding RNA from Tachysurus fulvidraco (yellow catfish), 587 nucleotides. RefSeq lists it as uncharacterized. The record is from RefSeq and is a predicted model, not a curated record. Lineage: Eukaryota; Metazoa; Chordata; Actinopteri; Siluriformes; Bagridae. The transcript has 2 exons.